GUGGCCACCAUAGUCUUGGCAUUAAUGAUGGGAAUAAAUGUUUAUAUAGUAUUUUAAGUUUUAUUUAUAGAAAGAGGAAAAGGGGAACAGUCUCAUUUACAAAUUAUAUGUUUUGUUGUUUAGGAACAAAUCAGACUCUAAUCAGUUUACUGAAUAUGACAGAAGUUUAUUCAUGAAGUCCGCCAUAUUUAAAUCAGCAAUCAAACUUCAUCUUUAAAAAGUGCCAUACUACUGGAAUAUAAGUGUAGAGAUGUUAUAUUACAGGUGAGACGAAUCCAUAAAAGAAGACAUGAGAAAAUAUAAUUCAAGCUUGAUAAAUCAUACAAGAUUUUUUUACUUUAAUUGGCUGAGAACAUGAAUUUAAAAUUUGCAGGAUACAUGCAGACAUACAAUCAUUUCCAAAAUGUUAUUUUGGACAUCAGAGUUAAAAGUUAUAUUUCAAAAAUUGAGAUAAUCAUCUUUUACACUAAUUGUUUCAACAAAAGCUUGAAUACUUGAAAGACCAAGAAAUGCUCCUGCCACUUAAUGACUUUAACUAUUGGCUGAUACAUAAUAUAUCAGAAUACAUGACAGAAAUUUGAUCUGGUGAUCCAAGAUUUUCCAAUUUUCCGACAAAUGAUGUAGAAUCUAAAAUCACAGGUGUAAAUGACUGGCGGAAAUGGCCAUUUCACGAAAAGAAACUUCAUUUCUUUUUUUUUUUUUAUAAUGUCAUAAACUCUUUCUUUUUCCUUUCUUUCUUUCUU
RNAcentral lists this unclassified non-coding RNA (743 nucleotides) under Hevea brasiliensis (rubber tree). Lineage: Eukaryota; Viridiplantae; Streptophyta; Magnoliopsida; Malpighiales; Euphorbiaceae. The record is from RNAcentral.